This 517-nucleotide ribosomal RNA is filed under the name Chaetomium globosum. RNAcentral's name for it is "eukaryotic LSU rRNA". The stretch from base 162 to 315 matches the Rfam family "5.8S ribosomal RNA". Lineage: Eukaryota; Fungi; Ascomycota; Sordariomycetes; Sordariales; Chaetomiaceae. The record is from RNAcentral.
UACCCUCCUAUUCAUCUGAAGUCCCCUAUACGUUGUUUGGUCUGCGGUCUCGGGGUUUACCCCCCGGGCGCCCCUGGGCCCCACCGCGGGCGCCCGCCGGAGGUCACCAAACUCUUGAUAAUUUAUGGCCUCUCUGAGUCUUCUGUACUGAAUACUGUCAAAACUUUCAACAACGGAUCUCUUGGUUCUGGCAUCGAUGAAGAACGCAGCGAAAUGCGAUAAGUAAUGUGAAUUGCAGAAUUCAGUGAAUCAUCGAAUCUUUGAACGCACAUUGCGCCCGCCAGCAUUCUGGCGGGCAUGCCUGUUCGAGCGUCAUUUCAACCAUCAAGCCCCCGGGCUUGUGUUGGGGACCUGCGGCUGCCGCAGGCCCUGAAAAGCAGUGGCGGGCUCGCUGUCGCACCGAGCGUAGUAGCAUACAUCUCGCUCUGGUCGCGCCGCGGGUUCCGGCCGUUAAACCACCUUUUAACCCAAGGUGGACCUCGGAUCAGGUAGGAAGACCCGCUGACUAGUCCCUUCC